UACGUAGGGUCCGAGCGUUGUCCGGAAUUACUGGGCGUAAAGAGCUCGUAGGUGGUUUGUCGCGUUGUUCGUGAAAACUCACAGCUUAACUGUGGGCGUGCGGGCGAUACGGGCUGGCUGGAGGCAGGCAGGGGAGAACGGAAUUCCCGGUGUAGCGGUGAAAUUCGUAGAUAUUGGGAAGAACACCGGUGGCGAAGGCGGCGACCUGGUCCGAUACUGACGCUGAGGCGCGAAAGCGUGGGGAGCAAACAGG
This 253-nucleotide ribosomal RNA is filed under the name uncultured bacterium. RNAcentral describes it as "partial 16S ribosomal RNA". It matches the Rfam family "Bacterial small subunit ribosomal RNA", at positions 524 to 776 of the family's 1533-position model. The record is from RNAcentral.